Non-coding RNA from Peromyscus maniculatus bairdii (prairie deer mouse), 3316 nucleotides. NCBI's taxonomy places the organism in Eukaryota, Metazoa, Chordata, Mammalia, Rodentia, Cricetidae. The record is from RefSeq and is a predicted model, not a curated record.
CGACCCGGAAAAACCCGUCCUCUUCCGGUCCCGCCCUGUGCAGUGAAAGAGGCGGGACUUCCGGCCUCACUUCUUCCCCUGACGGCGCUCUCUCUUCGAUGCGGGAAGUUCGAACGGCUACCUCGUAGUUUUGUUUUGUUUGUUCCUUUUGGUCCUCCGGCUCGCCGCUGCUGCCCCAGCCGCCCGGACUUGAACCGGCGUCUCAGUCCAAACACUUCUUGUGUCCAUGUUCUUCCGCAGAUGAGAUUAUUUUCUUUCAUCCAGAAACACCACUCGGUAGUUAACAUUUGCUGAAGUAACCCCGGAGAAGCAGUCGCAAACGGUACGGUUCCUGCCAUUUGGGCAACGUAGAGGUCAGUCAGAGGCCUUGAUUGCUCUCUCGAUGCGGAAAACAGCUCCGCAGCCCAGAACUGCCGGUCUGCCUGAAGUGUGGCAUACCCAGGCGUAGAAAUGGCCGCUGAAGUCCGAAUGGUGCUUUAUGAAGAUGACUCGGUCCAAGUACAGUAUGCCGAUGGUUCCAGACUGCAGCUCUCUCCGUGUGGCUCAGAGUUUCUAUUUGAAAAGGCACCUCCUCUUUCAACACAUCCUUUAGAGCAACCAGAGAGAAUUCGUCAACGGACACACUUUGUCAUUAGUACCUACCGAGAGCAACUGCAGCGAGCCCUAGAUUUUCGAAACUCUUCAGCUACGUGCCCUUUUUUAUCUGAAAGCCUCACACCUCCUGAAAGAAAAAAGCAUAUCUUCAUUGAUUUCUCGGAAGUAAAAUGGCCCAGUGUUGAUAGAGAUGACAGCAUCACAUAUUCGGAGAGUGGCGCUGUGAAGAUAACAUCACUCGAUGGACACGCAUACCUGUGCCUACCCAGAUCUCAGCAUGAAUUUACAGUGCAUUUUUUGUGUAAAGUGAGCCAGAAGCCAGACUUGCCUGUAAUACUCUCUGAAACAAGUAAUCAGGUCCCAAAAGAUAAACAAGUUGGAAAGACGAGCAAAGUCUGCACCCGUGCAAGUUUAUCAGGACAAGGAUUACAGAAUAAAGAAAACAAACUUCAUGGCCAGAUCUUGAAAUCUAAGGCCUCAGCGAACCUGUGUUGUGUGGAUGGAACCGAGGGGCGGGAGGAGCUGCCUUCCUCAAGCACGAGGCACAGAUGUGUCUACGCCUGGGUGAAGCAGUGCUGGUCUGUCGCCGCCUGUCCAGAGCCGUGGAAAUACCCUUUGUCUUUAGCCCUUGGUUUUUAUAACAAAGUUAGUGUUGUGUCUAAAACUGAUGCAGGUUUCCCUGCAAGAGGAACUGUAACCUCUGACACUCCAGAAGAAAGCAGAGAAGAGGUUUCUGUCCUUCCCAGGGCCUUGUUACUCAGCUGCCCUGCCCCCCACACGCACAGGUGGAACUUCUGUGAAUCACUUUUACAGAGACAGUCCGAUGAAGAAUAUUCCUAUCCUGAGCUGGUGAAGGUGGUGUGGUACAAGGGUAUUACAUACAGGCUUACCCAUAAAAAUGAAAACUCGAUAGAGAUUUAUCCUGGAGAUGGAUCAGUUUUCAAGUCAGAAGGAGCUUAUUUUGGUAACUAUUUUACAUAUUAUCCGAAUCAAGAAGAAUCAGAAAAGAGAGAAGAGAAAACUUAUUCCAUAAAUAACCUUCCUCCAGACAGACCAGGAAGUCUCUUCUCUGUACGUUCUUUGAUUAAACAGGCAGCCAGAAUUCUUCAACAUUGUGCCAAGACAAGGCUUUCGCUGAGUCACAACUAUCACGCCUGCUGCUGGAAAACGGUACCUGGAAUAAAUGUUAACAAUACCCUGCCCAUGGUUCUGAAAGAAUCACUCAUACCCAAUGUGGGGAGAUUUCUUGCCUACUCUGAUGAAAAAGUUCACGCUGUCUUUUUAGAUGGCGUCACUUUAACGCUGAAUUGGAAUUUCAGCUCCUCUGCUGAAAAAAGACCAAUAAAUCAAGGUCUCAACUUGGGUUGGUGCAGAUUAACUUUUCCUGAUGGACAGGAUCAGUUCAUUCAAAUUGAGCAUCCUGGAACAUAUGAAAGAUACGUGACAUCAGUGACAUCAUGGUGCAGAAGACUGACCCAGACUAGUCCAAGUCAGGUGCCCGAACAUCUGUCAGCUGUUCUCAACGAAAAUUGUUCCUCAGGAGACUCGGCCAGGGCUCCACAGGAGCGUUCCGGGCGACGUCAGACUGACUGGAGAAGGAACUCAGCAACUGAGAGCAACUGGCUGCUCUUUCAAAGGACACAGGUUCCAUUCCCAGCACACUCACGGCAGUUCACAGCCCUCUUUAACUCCUGUUCCAGGGGAUCUGACAUCCUCUUCUGGCCUCCAUGGGCACCAGGUACACAUGGUGCACAGAUUUACAUGCAGGCAAAACACACAUACGCAUAAAAUAAAAUUCAGAAAAGGAUCUUUGGCCUGUGGAGACAGUGAGAAGACAGUUUUCAGGAACAGAUAGUACUUGAUAGGAUAUAUUAUAGGUUUUGGUGAAUUAAGAUGGCUCCUAUAAUAAAUAAGGACUUUCACAUGAUUAUAAAACUGAUCACUAACCACUGCUCAAGUAAUAACUGGUUUUGUUUUUAUUAAAUGCCUUGUUUACAUAAAAACUGAAAGAGGGUUACUGUUGACAUACUAAGAAAUGAAGCUGGAAGCCAGGUAGUAAUGGCGCACGCCUUUAAUCCCAGCGCUCAUGAGGCAGAGGCAAAUGGAUGUCUGAGUUGGAGGCCAGCCUGGUCUACAGAGUGAGUUCCAGGCCAACCAAGGACAACAUACAAAAAAACAAAAGUGAAAGUGCAGUUGGUGACAGCAGCUGUGGGUGACAGCAGUGAGGACCAGCUCUGACCCCCAAGACAUCCCCCCUCCCCGUCCUCUGUCUUGUCAGAGUGUAGUUUGAAGGAAGAAAUCACACAAUAACCAGCUCUCUAAAUUGUAUUUCAGUUCUUUUUCUACCUUGCCAUUGUUAGCUUAUUGAUUCAACUUCUUAGUAACUUGAAUUGUUUUUAGACAGUGUCCUCAUUAGUUUUCAGAGGUGAUAGUUGUAGUGUUUGUAUAGUAUUCUGACUCGGUGGGGAAACUAGAUAGACCAUCCACAGGAGGGGCCCUGCUCGAGUUCUGUGGUCACCUCAUCCCUGUUGUCCUCCCGUCCGUCUCCUGUCAUAUGUCACCCUUUACCUUUCGUAGGUCUGUUGCCUCUGAGCUUGAGAAAAUACAGAAAUUUAACUGGCUCCUGGAAAACAGUGGUGUCCUCCACUUGACUGCUAACAAGAAAAACGAACGGUGUUCUGAUGACUGUGCACCAGGCUCUUCGGAAACCUUGCUGGAAGCA